ACUCCAAGUGAUGUGGGCAGCAUCUCAAAAGAUCUUUAAAUCUCUCCAUGCAUUCACAUAUGCCAUCAUCAAACCGCAUAAAAAAAGAUAUGUCAUUUCUAAGUUU
Ricinus communis (castor bean) is the source of this 106-nucleotide small nucleolar RNA. The record is from RefSeq and is a predicted model, not a curated record. Lineage: Eukaryota; Viridiplantae; Streptophyta; Magnoliopsida; Malpighiales; Euphorbiaceae.